UACAGAGGUCUCAAGCGUUGUUCGGAUUUAUUGGGCGUAAAGGGUGCGUAGGUGGCGACGCAAGUCUGAUGUGAAAUUUCGGGGCUCAACCCCGAAACUGCAUUGGAUACUGCGCCGCUCGAGGAUUGUAGAGGAGAGUGGAAUUCACGGUGUAGCAGUGAAAUGCGUAGAGAUCGUGAGGAAGACCAGUUGCGAAGGCGACUCUCUGGGCAACUCCUGACACUGAGGCACGAAGGCCAGGGGAGCAAAC
This 250-nucleotide ribosomal RNA is filed under the name uncultured bacterium. Its description in RNAcentral is "partial 16S ribosomal RNA". It matches the Rfam family "Bacterial small subunit ribosomal RNA", at positions 524 to 773 of the family's 1533-position model. The record is from RNAcentral.